Long non-coding RNA from Helianthus annuus (common sunflower), 498 nucleotides. RefSeq lists it as uncharacterized. The record is from RefSeq and is a predicted model, not a curated record. NCBI's taxonomy places the organism in Eukaryota, Viridiplantae, Streptophyta, Magnoliopsida, Asterales, Asteraceae. The transcript has 3 exons.
CCGCUACCAAGGUUUCUUCUUUCUUCUCUCCUUCUUCCAUCGCUCAAAGCUUCUUCUUCUCAAUCAGUCCUACAGUUUUGUUGUUCUAAACCUCGCUAUUAUCAGGUAUGGAAAUUAUUGUUGAUUGUUGUUAUCUUUGACCAGUUUAUGCCUUUGAUUUUGUUUCCUUUCGAUUGUAGAUCUGACCCCCCUUAUGAAGAAACCCUAAUAGUUUCCCCCGCCGCUACCCUUCGUUUUUCUUUCCUCUCCACUCGCCCUACUCUUCUUCUUCUCCAUCUCUCCCUUAUGAAUCCGGAUCUUAACGUUUUGAUUUACAGAUCUGCUGCAACCGUUGAUGAUAUUAGGGUUUCAUCAUCCAUUCUUGAGUUAACGGCAGUGAAUCAGGCUUGAAGCUCUUAACCACGCGUUUCACAGAUCUGAACCACCGUUUAUGAUAUUAGGGUUUCAGCAUCCAUUCUUGAUUUAACGGUAGUGAAUCAGGCUUGAAGCUCUUAACCA